RNAcentral lists this ribosomal RNA (303 nucleotides) under uncultured bacterium. Its description in RNAcentral is "partial 16S ribosomal RNA". It matches the Rfam family "Bacterial small subunit ribosomal RNA", at positions 507 to 807 of the family's 1533-position model. The record is from RNAcentral.
AGCAGCCGCCGCGGGAAUACGAAGGGUGCAAGCGUUACUCGGAAUUACUGGGCGUAAAGCGUGCGUAGGUGGUUGUUUAAGUCUGCUGUGAAAGCCCUGGGCUCAACCUGGGAAUUGCAGUGGAUACUGGGCGACUAGAGUAAGGUAGAGGAUAGUGGAAUUUCCGGUGUAGCAGUGAAAUGCGUAGAGAUCGGAAGGAACAUCUGUGGCGAAGGCGACUAUCUGGGCCAUUACUGACACUGAGGCACGAAAGCGUGGGGAGCAAACAGGAUUAGAGACCCCUGUAGUCCCUGUCUCUUAUAC